UAUAUUUCUUUCAUUCGUGGAAGGUUCUAUUUCCGAGGGUGGAGUCACCCUUCCCGAGUCCUGCACUCCUCCAAAAUGUGACCGCAGAGCUCCACCUAGUUUUCACCGGCGCCGCCGAGACUACCGCCUCCACCACCGCCGCCGAUCUUCUCCUACUGAAUGAUAAUUAGAAUUAUCAUUUAUCUGUAAUAAAUAAAACACAGAAAUUUGUUGUGUUACAAUUCCGGUACCUUACUUUCUCUUUAAAAUUUUAUAAUUUUCUCAGCAACUCUACC
This 275-nucleotide long non-coding RNA is filed under the name Lathyrus oleraceus (garden pea). RNAcentral's name for it is "Pisum sativum (pea) long non-coding RNA (PSAT_LNC023144)". Lineage: Eukaryota; Viridiplantae; Streptophyta; Magnoliopsida; Fabales; Fabaceae. The record is from RNAcentral.